AGGGACGCCCCCACAGGUAGACGAAGAGGGUCCAGAGAAAGGUGGGGAUUCCCUAACCCCUUCUUUCUUGGCACAGACAGGCAGAGAACACCUCUUUUCUCACCCCUGGGCAGCCCCAGGAAGUCAAUCCUUCCACUAUUCCUGCUCCGUGCCUCUCUUCCCUCUGCCCAGAUUCCUGGGAGACUCAAAACCCUGUUCAACUCUCUCUGGGCUAGCUGCUCCCCUCCCCAAGAGGAUUUCUCUCCAGAGCUGGUAUCAUCGCUUAAUGAUGUUCCACCAACAAGGGGAAGGGUCCCCACCAGAUACAUACAUAUGGCUAUUGAGCACUUGAAAUGUGUGUAGUCUGAAAUGAUCUGUGCUGUGGCAUCUGUGCUGUGCCUGUCAUUCAUUGAGAACAGUUUGUUUUCUGCUUAUGGAAUCACAAAAAUAUUUAAUCUGAAGCUUCAGUGGUGCAGCCGUCCUUGAGGCUGCAGACCAUAGGAUCCUUCCUUCUCUGUCUGGAUGCACUGGAGGGCCAGCAUUCUCGGAGGUGGCCAGGGUCCUCUGAGAAGCCAGCGCCCAAGUGGUACCUGAGUCCAGUGAACGGCAAGUUUCUUUUCUGGGAGCUGCUAUCACUGAAUACAUAAAGAAAUUGAGCCUAUAUGAUUUCAAUCUUCACCUUCUGAUGCUGAUGAAACAGGAUUCUAUGCAGAGAAAAUCCUCUCCAGUCAAGUAAUUGCAUCCAUUUCAUCUUCCCAGCCCUCCUCUAGAUGGGAGGUGGAGGUGUGUGUACCAAUCUCUUAAUUCAGAAAUGAGACAAGAGGAGGAAAAAGGAGUUCCGGAGGACAGUGGGGACCCCAGCCAGAGCCUGGGGACUUGGCUGCCUUGGAACCAGAACCUGGCCCCUCAGAGGAGUUGCAGAAUUUCGAUAGAGGAGUGGCAGGAGGUGUACUGGCUGAAGAGGAGGCCCAAGGAACUCCUUUUCAUACAUCAAAACUGAGCUUAUCACCUCUACCCUGAAGUCAUCCUGGACAUCACUGGUCCCAGUUAAUCACUCACUUAUCUUUGCCAUCCUUGACCUGGGAAGAGAACGUUGCCCUCAUUGGUCUGGAAUCAGCAGGUACCUCAUGGCUGGAGGUGUAUUUUCAGACUCCUUUGGCAUCUGGUGAGGCCUGUGGAUUCAUUCUCAGAAUCACAUUUUUAAAUGCACAUAAUAAAAUACAUAGAAUUGCAAAGGAAGUUAAUUAUAUUGAAAUACAGUUAUCAAAAAUAUAAAUAAAACAAGUAUGUGGUACAGUCAUAUGUGUGCUUCUUUAUUAAGUCAUUACAAAGCAAGAUCUAUUUGGAGGUCUAAUAACUGUCAUAUGCUUGAAAAAAUCCUUAACAAUCAUAAUAUAUUAAAAAAUCUGAUUUCUACUUUGGCAAAUCAUAGAUAUUGCUGAAACUGUGGUUUAUUGCCUGCAUUCAUAAUUGAAGGAAAUGCUAGAGUUCAGUGAGAAGGUUGUGAAAAUAAAGAGAGCCUUUUUUUCUCAUCAAG
This 1516-nucleotide long non-coding RNA is filed under the name Homo sapiens (human). Its description in RNAcentral is "HSALNT0028693". Lineage: Eukaryota; Metazoa; Chordata; Mammalia; Primates; Hominidae. The record is from RNAcentral.